Cornus florida is the source of this 905-nucleotide long non-coding RNA. RefSeq lists it as uncharacterized. The transcript is spliced from 2 exons. NCBI's taxonomy places the organism in Eukaryota, Viridiplantae, Streptophyta, Magnoliopsida, Cornales, Cornaceae. The record is from RefSeq and is a predicted model, not a curated record.
AUAUAUAUAUAUAUAUAUAUAUUUGUGUAAAAUAUAUAUACUGCUCACAUGUACAGAAACCACACACAUACAACACAUUUACAGAACACAAACAUAUAUCUCAAAAGCCGGCCACCCCUCUCUCGAUCUGGUUCACGAUUCAGAGUCUAUGGCCUCUUAAAUUCUUUAAAUCAAUGUAUACGGAGGCAGCAACGCAGGAGGAAGCUCCACCGCCGCCUGUUGCCGAGGAGAAGUCACCGGAGAAGGAAGAAGAUAAGAAAGCAGAGCAAGGAGAUGAAAAGAAAGAACCGGAAGAGAAGUAAUAAGAUGAAAAGCCGACAGAGGAAGCCAAAAAAGAGGAUAAACCGAAUGAGAAUCCAAAACCAGAGGAUUUGCCCUUUCUCCAAGCCCUAACCCUAGCUUCCUCUCUCAUUCGAAGCCCGAACUCCAACCUCCCAUUCGAAGGACACUUUGGUGUCUAAUCAAACCGUAUCUACAUUUUUUGUCUAAUCAAGCGCCAUAGCCUCUGCGUUUUCCGUCGAAUUCCAUCUCCUUUCUCUCUGAUUCUUCUCUCGGGAACUUUAGGGCUGAUCUUUUAUUAUUUAAAGGGAGUCCUCUAUAACAUUGAAGGAUAUAUACAGAGGAGCUAAGCUGAGAUCAGAGGGGAGCAUUCAAAAGAAAGAAGAGAUCGAUCUAUGGCGGUGAAGAUGUCUUCCUCAACCAUGAAGAAUUCUACUCUAGUCAUGCUUGGCUAAACGCUUUGCUAGGGUUGUGAUGUAUCUCUAGCUUAGCACACUGGUUUGAUUGUAUUUAAUUAUUGGAGAAUAAAUAUUUUCAUGCAUGAUUGUGUAAUCUAUAGGGUUUUUAAUUGAAUUUUUAAUAAGAAUCGGUUUUAAAGUUUUAAUUCAAUUACAAAUAUUUUUCUA